This 255-nucleotide ribosomal RNA is filed under the name uncultured bacterium. RNAcentral describes it as "partial 16S ribosomal RNA". It matches the Rfam family "Bacterial small subunit ribosomal RNA", at positions 524 to 777 of the family's 1533-position model. The record is from RNAcentral.
UACGAAGGGUGCAAGCGUUACUCGGAAUUACUGGGCGUAAAGCGUGCGUAGGUGGUGAGUUAAGUCUGUCGUGAAAGCCCCGGGCUCAACCUGGGAAUGGCGAUGGAUACUGGCUCGCUAGAGUGCGGUAGAGGAGAGUGGAAUUCCCGGUGUAGCAGUGAAAUGCGUAGAGAUCGGGAGGAACAUCAGUUGCGAAGGCGGCUCUCUGGACCAGCACUGACACUGAGGCACGAAAGCGUGGGGGAGCAAACAGGG